AGGAGAGUGACCUAGGGAAACUGCUAAACACCUCCCAAGGGUUUCUGCUGUCUUGCGCCUGAACUCACCGGUCAGCCCUCCUCAUGUGUGACUGCGGUGUCUGCACAACCAUCCUGGAAAUAACUGAGCAGGCCAAGGUGCCUCAGGUCUAGCUUUUGUGGGCGGUUAAGACUGUGUCCACCAAGAGGAAGAAAAGGAGAACCUGGCUUCCAGGUUUUGGGGCAUGGCCCUGUUACCCAAUGCUGUUUGCUCCAGAGAAGCAUGGAAACAAGAGGUAAUGCUGCAUAGACAACAGAGCCGAAAGUGUGGAAGAUAUACUGAGUACCAAAACUGAAUUUUAGAAAAUACAAAGAUAAAUUAGAACAUUGUGCUCAGUCUAUCAGGAUGCAAUUUAUUAAAGACAAAAUGUAAGUUCUUAGGUUUAAGUUCACAAAACAAGCUGUGCAAGUAUGGAGCACAGCAUGUCAGAGGAAAACCUUUCAUUUGUUUUCAGUAAACUCCAUUUGAAUCAAGACAAUGACUGUGCCCCACACUGUCUCCCCCUGACCUCUGUGUGUUCAGGCAGACAGGAUGAUGGAGGGACUGGCUCUUUCUGAUGUCUGAGGAAUCUUGGAAGUCCUGGGAACAUUUAGCCUGGAGAAGAGGAGAAUUCACAGAAUGCUGGCUGCUGUCACAAGUCUGAAGAGCUGUCAGCAAGAGGAGGGACUGACAUCAGGACCCGCAGAGGAAGAGACCUGCUUCCACCCAGUCUAACAAACAACCUCCUGGAGAAACAACCACGCAGGUGGUCAGGAGCGCAGGCUCCAAAGUGAGACAGACCUGGGCUUAAAUGCCCCCUCCACCUCCUAACCUCUGAAUAUGAGUCCCUCCUGCGUGUGAAAGAUGAGGAUGCAGCAGCUCCCUCAGAAUUCCCAAAGCAUUCGAUGAGAGGUGCACUACAGGGGCUCAGAAAUGCCAGACAAAGUCAGUGCUAGACUGUCAGCUGCUGUGAGAUUAUGAUCUCUCUUCGGCAGAGCUGCCCAGGAAGCAGUGCCUGUUUCCAGAAGAGCCUUCCAAAGUUGAGGCUCUCCAUUUCCAGUUAAGCUAAUUUAGGAAGAUUGCACAAGUGGAAACACCACAUGCGACUAACUGCAUGAUUAAUAAGAACAUGUUGACUUAAGUUCUUGAUUGCCAAAUGGAUUUUUGCCUUAUAAAUAUUUUUGAAUGGAUUAUCACUGAAAUCUUGGGGUUCAGUCAGAAGACUACUGUCUAAAUUUUUUCUGUAUUUCUUUUGGGGUCGUGAUUUGAUCCAGGGUGUGGCCAAAUCUACAUCGUUGAAUAGUUCUACGAAGCUCCCCGGGUGUUACUGGGGAUGUUGACUCAACAUUUUCAUGGUUUUCAGUUUUUAUGGUCAUUCGUGUAAAAUGGGGCUCAAGUGUUUGUCUUUUCCACUUGAAAAACUCAUCAUUGGUUUGUGGUAACUAAGUCAUUUAUUCUUCAUAGAAUGAUGCUGAGAAAGAAAAAACUGUGACAACAGUCAUGGAUAUUAAUGAAUGAGCAUGAACUUAGCCCAUUUGCAUUCUGAAGUAUGGAGCGUGGGAGAAACAGUGACUUGCUGCUCCGCAGGGGACCGUUAGCUUACUCUCCGACGUGUUUUUGCUGUUGUUGUUUCUUUCUUCGUUUUUAACAUUUUUUGGUUUAGUACUUUAUAAUGCAUAUUUUGAAUUAAAAAAUGAAUUACAGAGUGGCUAUGUCAGAAGAACUGAGGGUCUUUGGACUUUUUUUUUUUUUUAAUAAUUGCAGACUCAACUGUGAAAUUGCUGCUUACAUUUCCUUCAGAAAUAAUGAACUCCUGUGACAGUGACUUUGAAUGUGUCUUUAACACACUUGACUUAAUGAGAUCCCUUUUCUGGAGGAUAUAAAAUGUUCCCCAGAGAUGUAAUGUCACCACUAGGGGAUAAUCUAAUGUCCUAAAAGGGCUAAUUAUUUCCCCUAAAACAUUACAACAAACUCAUUACUGUAAGGACAACCCUAUGAACUCUUUAAAAGAUGAUGAAAAUGACAGCACCGAGAAGGGAGAUGGUCCUACUCUUUGGGGUAAUAAACGACAUUCAGAGUUAGAAUCCUUUGACAAUCAAAUAUUUUUUAAAACUUUUUUAAAAUUAUACUUUAAGUUCUAGGAUACAUGUGCAGAAUGUGCAGGUUUGUUACAUAGGUAUACAUGUGCCAUGAUGGUGUGCUGCACCCAUCAACCCAUCAUCUCGGUUUUAAGCCCUGAAUGCAUUAGGUAUUUCUUCUAAUGCUGUCCCUCCCCUUGCUCCCCACCCCCUGACAAGCCCCAGUGUGUGAUGUUCCCCUCCCUGGGUCCACGUAUUCUCAUUGUUCAACUCCCACUUAUGAGUGAAAACAUGCGGUGUUUGGUUUUCUGUUCCUGUGUUAGUUUGCUAAGAAUGAUGGUUGCCAGCUUCAUCCGUGUCCCAGUAAAGGACAUGAACUCAUUCAUUUUUAUGGCUGCAUAGUAUUCCAUGGUGUGUCUGUGCCACAUUUUCUUUAACCAGUCUAUCAUUGAUGGGCAUUGGGUUGGUUCCAAGUCUUUGCUAUUGUAAAUAGUGCUGCAAUAAGCAAGCA
This 2607-nucleotide long non-coding RNA is filed under the name Homo sapiens (human). Its description in RNAcentral is "HSALNT0198140". Lineage: Eukaryota; Metazoa; Chordata; Mammalia; Primates; Hominidae. The record is from RNAcentral.